RNAcentral lists this long non-coding RNA (215 nucleotides) under Mytilus galloprovincialis (Mediterranean mussel). Lineage: Eukaryota; Metazoa; Mollusca; Bivalvia; Mytilida; Mytilidae. The record is from RNAcentral.
ACCAACUCAAAAUAUAUGUAGAUCUUGAGUAGUUAGAGGAAAACCAGCAUCAUAUUCAGGAUGCAAGUUCUCUGAAAAGAGAAAAAAGAAUAAUUACAGUAAACAAUAUACAUGUAUGAAGUAAAUAAAAAACACAAUUGUAACACAUUACAACUUAUAUACUCUGAUGCUUAAUAAUAUUGAUUAUCUUUUUUCUGAAAAGUUCUGUACCAGCA